UACAGAGGGGGCCAGCGUUAUUCGGAAUUAUUGGGCGUAAAGGGCGCGUAGGCGGCUUUGCGUGUCUUUCGUGAAAUCCCUCGGCUCAACUGAGGACGUGCGGAAGAAACUGCAGGGCUGGAGUCCGGGAGAGGCGAGUGGAAUUCCCGGUGUAGCGGUGAGAUGCGCAGAUAUCGGGAGGAACACCAAUGGCGAAGGCAGCUCGCUGGGACGUUACUGACGCUGAGACGCGAAAGCGUGGGGAGCAAACAGG
Molecule: ribosomal RNA, 253 nt
Filed under: uncultured bacterium
Lineage: Bacteria
Description: partial 16S ribosomal RNA
Rfam family: Bacterial small subunit ribosomal RNA
Source: RNAcentral